CUGAAGUUCAGUUUCCUCUAUGACUAGAAAAGAUAGUCCACUUAUCUGACUGCGAAUUCAAAUAAUAUAAAGUUUAAUAAUCCAGUUGGAAUUGGAGUUUUUCCUUAGCUUCAGAGUAUAGGGCCAGGCCCUAGAGGCUGGCGGAGGGUUUGUCCCACUCCUUCUACUCUCGUUGUUCUAAUUCAGAAUCUUAGCAGUACACAGAAAGCAAACAAGAACAAUUCUAACCUUUAAAAGCCUGUGUCUUUGGGCUGAAACAAGAAGAGCAUGCCUCUCCAGACUGGGCUUAACAAGCUCCUCUCUCCUCCAAUACCCAGAAGCAAGUCCCACACGACAGGAAGGAAGUGCUAGUCACAAGACCCAACUGCCACACCCAGCAGGAAGGAAGUGCUAGUCACAAGAGCCAACUGCCACUCCCAGUAGGGCCCUUCCCCCACAAACUGUCAGUCUUGUUUCCUUUCCACAAGCAUGUGUCGCCAAUAAUCUAAAAAUGAUAUUUGUAUGUUUAUGCUGAAUGUUGGAGGGCAUAAAGCCUCAUCCCUGCAUUAUUUCCCGAAAGCAAAAAUAACCUCAUCUGCAAGAAAAUAACAUGCUACUGGGUGAUACAAAAUGUGAAGAGACAAGUAAAUACCACAAAAUUUGUGAAGGGAGAGGACGUUUACAAUUCGGAAGAUCCGGAAAGACUUCUAGCAACAGGUGGCACAUGAACCAAAUUCUGAAGGAAGUUAUUCUAAAUGAAGGAGAUGAGUCAAGAAAGAAACAAGGAGACUAAGAGAAUUGGCCAGGUUCACACAGCUAGAAAGUAUCUAAGGUGGGAUUUGAAAUCUGUUAUUUCUGAUUCUGAAGUCAUUUCCUUUUCC
This is a non-coding RNA of Monodelphis domestica (gray short-tailed opossum), 860 nucleotides long. The record is from RefSeq and is a predicted model, not a curated record. NCBI's taxonomy places the organism in Eukaryota, Metazoa, Chordata, Mammalia, Didelphimorphia, Didelphidae.